RNAcentral lists this ribosomal RNA (374 nucleotides) under uncultured bacterium. RNAcentral describes it as "partial 16S ribosomal RNA". It matches the Rfam family "Bacterial small subunit ribosomal RNA", at positions 523 to 898 of the family's 1533-position model. The record is from RNAcentral.
AUACGGAGGAUGCAAGCGUUAUCCGGAUUUAUUGGGUUUAAAGGGUGCGUAGGCGGAUGAUUAAGCGUGAGGUGAAAUGCCACUGCUCAACAGUGGAACUGCCUCGCGAACUGGUUGUCUUGAAUGCUCCUGCCGUGGGAGGAAUGUGUGGUGUAGCGGUGAAAUGCAUAGAGAUCACACAGAACACCGAUUGCGAAGGCAUCUCACGAAGGGGCGAUUGACGCUGAGGCACGAAAGCGUGGGGAUCAAACAGGAUUAGAUACCCUGGUAGUCCACGCAGUAAACGAUGAUAACUAACCGCUGGGGCGUAGUGAUUCAGUGGCCAAGCGAAAGCGAUAAGUUAUCCACCUGGGGAGUACGACCGCAAGGUUGAA